GAACUGAAGAGUAUCUACUGGGAACGGUUGGAAUUGCCAAGUCUAGAGAGAGUGUUUAUAAUGAUGUGUCCAAAGCUGAAAAAGCUUCCAUUUAGCAAGGAGAGGGCAUACUACUUUGACCUACGUGCACACAAUGAAGAAUGGUUCGAAAGACUUGAGUGGGAAGAUGAAGCUAUUGAAGACUAGGUGGAUCCAUCCGUAUCAGGUAAAAAAAAAAGGCAUAUAACAUUGUUGUCAGUGUUUAUCUUACAUAAUCCUUCACUUCACAUCUGCUUUGAUAUUCUCAGGUCGCUCUCAAAUAGACAUGCAACUCCACAGCUUCUGAGAUAACCCUUCUUAAGUUGCAACAGUUUGUCUUCACCUCAUGUAAUUGUAUCGUAUUUUCUUGUUUCAUAUUAUGAUUGGUUUGAAUUUGGUUUGAAGAAACUUGUAUGCGUUUUGGGUGUUUUUAUUUAUUUUUACUUUACUUUCGGAAGUGUGAGUGAUACCUCAAAAUACUUUGUACCAAAAAUAAAUAAACUUGUUGUGUGAUGUUGUAUGAUUUUGCGUGGUGAGAAUAAAAUUGGUAUAAGGGUAUUAGUACACUUUGGUAUAAAAUCUUAUUUGUACACUUAAAAAGACGAUUUUGACUGUGUUAUUAUUACACUUUGGUAUAAAAUCUUAUUUCUAGAUAUAAAGUCUUAUUAACACUUUUGCUAAUACUCCAUAGGUAGACUUGUGUUAUUAUUGUGUUGAUAAUGCUAAGGUCAAUUUUAAUUUUCGAUGCAAGUAUAGCCCGAAACAGUAAACAAUAACAGACACGCAGAGUAUUGAUUGACAGAGGCUAUAGUUUUUUUUUUUUUUUGCUUUAAAAUUAAAAAUGGAGAUUUUGUGGCUUUAGUUUUAGAUUUUAUAGGUGUAUAAUUAUUUUCAAAUUUUGAAAACACUAAAUAUAAAACUGUAGAAAAAUUGAUUUAUAAACCAAUCUAUUUCCUUUCUAAGAUUUUUGGUUGUAGUUUUAGAUUUUUUUAAUAAAGCAUCUUUGGUAAUAAAAUUGGCGGUAAAAAAAAUUAAAAUCCGUUCAAAGCACUUACCGUUCGUCCCCAAAGUCAUGAAUUCGCUAGCGUCUAUAAUUGAUUGACAAGGACAAGUUUAUAUUAUACGAACAAGACCAAAGCCUGCUUGCUACUUUAGUUUCUGUACGUUCUUAUAGAGAUAAGGUUAACCUCCACCCCUCAAUAUGGAAGUUAUUCCAUCUCCUUAUCUCUAUAGUUCUUGAGAUUCAACGAAUGCUUAGUAUUCUUCUUCUUCUUUCCAUUUUGUUCUUCUCUUACUUUUUUCUUCUGUUGAAACACGAUGGGGAACGUACUUUCAAACGGCUUUCAAGCUGCAACAAGUUUUUUUCUUGAAAAGGCCAAGUAUAUACUCGAACUGGAAGAUAAUCUUGAGGCUUUGCAAGAGGUUGCGAGACGCCUCAAAGCAAUGAAGGAUGACUUGCAGAACCAACUCGAGAUGGAAGAACGAAAAGGUUUGCGAGCGCUAGAAGAAAUUAAGGUAUGGCUUUCAGAAGUCAAAGCCAUCCAACCAAAGGUCACUAAACUGCUUGAAGAUAGGACUUCAGAAAUCGAAAGAUUGUCUAUGUACGGGUACUGCUCCAGCAACUUCCUUUUAACAUAUCAUUAUGGUAAAAAUGUAUUUGAAACGUUGGAGAAAGUACGAAGUAUUUUGUCCUCAAAACCUUGUGGCGAGGUGGUGGCUAGGAGGAUUCUUCCACCUGGUGUAAAUGAUAUAGACACUCAACGCACAGUCGGUUUAGAGAAGACGCUCGAAGAUGCAUGGAGCCUUCUCAUGGAGAAGGAAGUUGGAAUCUUGGGUAUUUACGGUAUGGGUGGAAUAGGGAAGACCACACUUCUCAAACAAAUCAAUGAGAAGUUACUUGAAAAAAAAGAUGAGUUUGGGGUGGUGAUAUUUGUAGUGGUGUCUCAAAACCUACAAGUUGAAAAGAUCCAAAAGGAGAUCGGUAAAAGACUAGGCCUCUGUGACGAGGAGUGGGAGAAAAAAGACCAAAAGGAGAAAGCCACUUGUAUAAAAGAAGUUCUUACAAGUAAAAGAUUCGUUAUGUUGUUAGAUGACAUAUGGGAGAAAGUGAAACUACAAGAGAUUGGGAUUCCAUUUCCCUCAGCAGAUAAUGGAAGCAAGGUUGUGUUUACCACUCGCUCGAAAUACGUUUGUGGGCGUAUGGGAGCUCAUGACUUGGAAGUCAAGCAACUAGACCAGAAGAAUGCUUGGGAACUAUUCCGGCAGAAAAUUAGAGGUACCACACUAGACAGUGAUCCAAAGAUCCUCGAGCUAGCAAAACAAAUAUGUGCGAAAUGUAAAGGCUUACCACUUGCACUCACCGUUAUUGGGGAAACAAUGUCCUACAAAACGUCAGUACGUGAGUGGCAGUGUGCGAUUGAUGAUCUGGAUUCAAAUGCCGACAACUAUCCAGAAGUUAGAGAUGAGAUUCUUAAAAUUCUCAAGCUUAGCUAUGAUGAUCUUAAGGACGAGACAUUACAGCAAUGUUUCCAGUAUUGUGCUUUAUUUCCAGAAGAUAAAGAAAUUUAUAAAGACGAGUUGGUCGAGUACUGGGUAUCCGAAGGGAUCAUAGAUGGAGAUGGAGAGAGAGAAAGAGCUAUGAACCAGAGUUAUAAGAUAAUCGGUAUCCUCGUUAGUGCAUGUCUAUUGAUGCCUGUUGACACUUUAGACUUUGUAAAAAUGCAUGAUGUGAUUCGCCAAAUGGCUCUUUGGGUUGCGUCUAAUUUUGGGAAAGAGGAAGAGAAAUUUAUCGUCAAGACAGGAGCUGGACUGCAUCAGAUGCCUGAGGUUAGGGACUGGAAUGCGGUGAGAAGGAUGUCACUGGCAGAAAAUGAGAUUCAGAACAUCGCCGGGGAUGUAUCCCCGGUGUGUCCUAACCUGACCACAUUGUUGUUAAAAGACAACAAGCUGGUGAACAUCUCAGGUGAUUUUUUUCUAUCGAUGCCUAAGUUAGUGGUUUUGGAUCUAUCUAACAACAAAAAUCUAACCAAGCUGCCAGAAGAGGUUUCAAAGUUAGUGAGCUUGCGAUUUCUUGACUUAUCACAUACAAGUCUAGAGAACUUGCCUGUAGGAUUGGGAAAGUUGAUUCAGUUGAGAUAUUUUUAUUUGACAGGCGUACGAACUCUUGAAAGCAUCAGUGUGAUAUCAAGUUUGGUAAAUAUAGAAAUGCUAUUCUUACAUGAAGGUACUUUUUUAAGUCUGGAGUUGAUAGAGGAUAUAAAGUUACUGAAGAAUUUGAAAGGCUUGGGAGUAAGUAUCAAUGAUGUGGUUGUUUUAGAACGUCUUUUAAGUAUCCCCAAAUUGGCUAGAUGUAUCGAUGCUAUAUCACUGGAUGGAGUUGUAGCAAAAGACGGUCCGUUGCAGUUUGAAACGGCUAUGACUAGCCUUCGCUAUAUCAUGAUAGAAAGGUGUAUCAUCUCUGAUAUAAUGGAUCAUACGAGAUAUGGAUGCACAAGUACAAGUGCCAUAUGCUUCCAAAACCUCGGCUAUGUCAACAUAUCUGUCGUCAGUUGUAUACAGGAUUUGUCGUGGUUAAUCUUUGCUCCGAAUCUUGCGGUUGUAUUCGUAGAGGGGCCAUCACCGGAGUUGCAAGAAAUUAUAAGCAGAGAAAAGGUCUGUGGUAUACUAAACAAGGGGUCGAGUAUUGUACCGUUUAGAAAACUACAUACGAUUUACUUAGAAGAUUUGGAGGAACUGAAGAGUAUCUACUGGGAACGGUUGGAAUUGCCAAGUCUGAAGAGAAUGGAAAUAAAAUACUGUCCAAAGCUGAAAAAGCUUCCAUUAAGCAAGGAGAGGGCAUACUACUUUGACCUACAUGAAUACAAUGAAGAAUGGUUUGAAACACUUGAGUGGGAAGAUGAAGCUACUGAAGAAUAGGUGGAUCAAUCCGUAGUCAGUGUUUAUCGUACAUCCCUCACUUCACAUCAUGCUUUGAUAUUCUCAGGUUCGCUCU
Molecule: long non-coding RNA, 4009 nt
Filed under: Brassica rapa (field mustard)
Lineage: Eukaryota; Viridiplantae; Streptophyta; Magnoliopsida; Brassicales; Brassicaceae
Description: long non-coding RNA (BRAP_LNC006191)
Source: RNAcentral